GAUGAACGCUGGCGGCGUGCCUAAUACAUGCAAGUCGAGCGAACAGACGAGGAGCUUGCUCCUCUGACGUUAGCGGCGGACGGGUGAGUAACACGUGGAUAACCUACCUAUAAGACUGGGAUAACUUCGGGAAACCGGCGCUAAUACCGGAUAAUAUAUUGAACCGUAUGGUUCAAUAGUGAAUGACGGUUUUGCUGUCACUUAUAGAUGGAUCCGCGCCGCAUUAGAUAGUUGGUAAGGUAACGGCUUACCAAGGCAACGAUGCGUAGCCGACCUGAGAGGGUGAUCGGCCACACUGGAACUGAGACACGGUCCAGACUCCUACGGGAGGCAGCAGUAGGGAAUCUUCCGCAGUGGGCGAAAGCUUGACGGAGCGACGCCGCGUGAGUGAUGAAGGUCUUCGGAUCGUAAAACUCUGUUAUUAGGGAAGAACAAAUGUGUAAGUAACUAUGCACGUCUUGACGGUACCUAAUCAGAAAGCCACGGCUAACUACGUG
Molecule: ribosomal RNA, 497 nt
Filed under: uncultured bacterium
Lineage: Bacteria
Description: partial 16S ribosomal RNA
Rfam family: Bacterial small subunit ribosomal RNA
Source: RNAcentral